This 93-nucleotide transfer RNA is filed under the name Rugosimonospora africana. RNAcentral describes it as "tRNA-Ser". The record is from RNAcentral. Lineage: Bacteria; Bacillati; Actinomycetota; Actinomycetes; Micromonosporales; Micromonosporaceae.
UCGGUCGGUGGACUGGUGCUCGUGCUGGCGGUGCUGGCGCUGCUGGCUGGGUUCACCGGGGUUGGACCCGGUUCGGCGCCGGGUUGGCCGGGC